AUGUACUCUUACUUCGAGAAAGAUCUAGCUGGUUGUGACUAUAGACGGAUUUGGAAGGCUUAGCUGCCUGUCAAAUUCUAGAUUUUCUUAUGCCAACUUUUCCAAGAUGCAGUUCUAACCAGAGAUGUUAUGAAGCGAAGAGACUGGGCUGGCAAUCCCCGCUAUUCCUUUUGCGACUGUAGAGAAACUUAUUUGCACCUGUUCUUUCUUUGUCCCCUGGAGAGGAUAGCCUGGUGCACGGUGAGGAUGAUGUUCGGGACUGAUUUAUGCCCCAACAACUUAUUUCAGUUUUACUCUUGGUGCUAUGCUUUUUUACCUCAGGGGGAACAAUAUUUCACAAUGGGGUUGGCAGCCAUUUGCUGGGCUAUUUGUAAUCGCAGAAACCAAGCCACUUUUGAAUUCAAGAAACUGUCAUCUCCUUUUGAGAUUGUUUUCGCUGCAUGUAUGCAUCUAGAUUAUUGGGCAAGACUCAUGAAGGGCGAAAAGUGA
RNAcentral lists this ribosomal RNA (489 nucleotides) under Triticum aestivum (bread wheat). RNAcentral's name for it is "partial small subunit ribosomal RNA". The record is from RNAcentral. Lineage: Eukaryota; Viridiplantae; Streptophyta; Magnoliopsida; Poales; Poaceae.